UUGGUUUGAAAUACUUUUGCCUCUCUGGUUGGACUGUUUGAAUUGUAAGACUGUGUUGUACUCUUCCAGGCUUGGGAAGGAAGAGCAUAUGAUUACUGCAUGGACAAUCUACAGAACAUGGGUUUUCCAGUUGACGGGGUUGCAUUUGACCCAGACUUGGUCAUUAGAGGUCUUGUCAUUGACAAAGAAAACGGUAACCUGGUUAAGGCUGAUAGAUUUGGUUAUGUGAAGAGAGCCAUGCAUGGGACAAAAAUGCUAUCAACUCGAGCUGUCAGUGAAAUGUAUGGGAGGGAACUUGUG
Carica papaya (papaya) is the source of this 300-nucleotide non-coding RNA. The record is from RefSeq and is a predicted model, not a curated record. Lineage: Eukaryota; Viridiplantae; Streptophyta; Magnoliopsida; Brassicales; Caricaceae.